Pelobates cultripes (western spadefoot toad) is the source of this 550-nucleotide non-coding RNA. The record is from the annotation of a GenBank genome assembly. Lineage: Eukaryota; Metazoa; Chordata; Amphibia; Anura; Pelobatidae.
CCCUAGCCUUACCCCCUUGGAAGUCACUGUAGUAUCCUUGUGUGUAGUGCUGAUUAGUCAAUUUGGGUCUGGUCCCUUUUUUGAAGUGGGUUUCCUGUAUCAUUACUAUAGAGGCCCUCUGUUUGUGGAAGUCUCUCAAUGCUCCUGAUCUCUUCUCUGGUUUAUUUAGGCCUUUUGCAUUGAUUGUAAGGAUGUGUAAGUGGUCUGGGGUCAGUGUCAUCCCGUCAAGUCAGGUUGUUGUCGACGGGUGUUGUGAAAAUGUCUUUGUCUUAUGUUCCUUUGGUGUGUGUAGUCUCAGGAGGUCUCACAGUCAGCUGUCGGUGUCGGGUUGGGGAGUCAAGUGUUGGGGUUUAGGUAAGGAUUAAGGGGUUGAGGUAUUGGAGUAGUCUGGGAGGUACCCAGAGAUCUCCGUGGUUUGGGUCACAGUGCGUGACGACUAGGUAGUAGCGUCGGGGAGCGUCAGUGCACGGCACCACCUGUGGUGUCCGUGUGAUGCUCACCUUUCGGGUGACGCCUCGCCUGCUGGGCAGUGGUUGGGCGUCCAGGCGCC